ACCAAAGAGAGUCUUAAGGGAGAAAUUCUUGGUACCAUCUGGAGUCUAUUAAAGGUCUCACAACUUUAGGUCAAAAGCUGUAGUACUAAAAUAUCACUUGUCAACUCUAUGAUCAACUUUUAAUAAUUAUUACUGUCUGAUUCAUUCUACCCAUUGUUUUAAAAAUCUUUACUUGCAUAUAAUUAUAUACUUUAUGUGAGUGUAUAGAUUGUACUAUGGACCAACAAAUUUUAAUGUGAACACUGAAGCUUAUAAUUAUUUUUUUUUGCAAACAAACGACAAAAUACUUUUUAAAUGGCUUUAAAUGGCGUAAUAACAAUUAACAAGUUGAUUUCAUUGCAUCUACGUACUAGUCCUGCGGUGGCUGGUUGAGGCUCGAGCACGGGUACACUGUGUGCUUGUUCCAUAAUCCUCACACACAAUGUAAUUAUUACAUAUAUUAUAUGGUAUCAGCUCUUUGUAAGUCUGUGGAAUUAUAAAUACAGACAACCCACCUCAAUAGUGUACUUAAUAUUCGGUUCUGACAAUCGAAGAUGGGCCGGAGGUGUCGGUGCAGAUGAUGCCUGAUUUUUUGCUUGGUUAUUUAUAUCUGUGGAUGUAGCUGAAGUUCUGCAAUGUUUUUAUUAGCGCACAGGUAUGAACUCGUCUGCUUAAUUUGCAGGCCUCUUUUAGGAAGUGCGGCUUGAGAUUGAGGCUACACGUGUCUGUGCGCGCCAGAGAGACAGAAACGUUGGCAUGGCUACCCGAUCAAUCUCAUCGCUGUCCACAGAAACGUUGUGCGAGUACCUAGCAGGUGAAGGACAGCACACAGAUGUAAUCUUGUGUGUACAGGAAAACAGGAAAACAGACUAACUGGAGCUGAUUUCUUAGAGCUCACCAAAGAUCAACUGAAAGCACAAGAAUGGCAAUUCAGAGGCUGAUUGCACAGGCUGAUUGCUCCACCAGUACCAAUAAAUAAACUCAAGCUUCCGGAUCCCAGAUGCAUGAAAGUGAAAGUGAAGCAUGGGUUCACACCUUCAAGCUCCCUGAGGUGUUUCACUAACCGCAUAAUGAAAGCUCUCCGAAAGGGGUUGAUCACAAAGGCGGACAUCACAUCACAUCUAGACUCUAUGAGUUAUUAUUAUUGCGAACUAAAUUUUUGUUGUGUCCUAAAUUUGUUUUCUGAUAGGAGUGAUGCGUAUAUAGGAGUGAUACAUUUUAAAAUGGCAAAUGUACACUUCAGCUCAGUUCAAGUCAUUGUUCACAUGGUCUGCAUGAUUUUAGGGUAAGAAUAAGUUUAGGAAUGGCCGUCGCGGAGAUGUAAGCGAUACUGAGAAUGACAAAGAAAACCAGAGACCAGUGGUAGGGUGAAGAAGCCCAGAAUUGGAUCAAAAGUGAUAUGGGAGAAAAGCUGCAAGAAGAAAUAGAGCUAGAUAUCCCAAGAGUAUCAAAAGUGAAGAAGCAUGAUGGAUCUUGAAAGAUGUGAUCAAUGUUUUUCCACUUGGUCAAUCUUCACGGUUAAACAGGGAACUCAAGCUGAUUCUGAGUCUUCCGAAGGACCACUGUUUCAUUCCUGAAUGGCAGCAAUUUAGGGACAAAGUGUUCAAGCUGGCAGAAGCGGAGGCAGCAAGACCAUGUUUUAAAAAGCUCCUUGAUGGUUACACCUGUUAAAAACUCUCACCAAGUGUUUAAAUACUCUCAUGAAUACAAACAAUGGUAAGCCAGUGAAUCACUCUUUAGUGCACAACGUAUCAUGACUUGGUUUUUUGUACGCUCUUUGAGCAAUUCUUGGCUACAAUAAAGAUCUUUAUGAAUUUCUUGUUGAAUUUCUUGUAAGUGUGCCAUUAUGAAAUUGUGCUGACGAAAAUCUGGAAUCAAACAUCAACAACUUACCCCCUGCCCCUGCCCCGUCCAUUGUUGUGUCAAUCUCAGAUGGAGCCUAUCAGAUUGUUGUUUGUGCAGAAAGCAAAGUCAUUGUUGAAUCAGCGGAUAUGGAAACUGCUGUUUUUAACAUAGCCUACCCAAAAACCCUUAAUGCACUUAAUACACUUCUGAUUUUCUUUCAACAUCAUAUUUUUAAGAUUAGUGAUGACCAGCCUGAGCCAAAUUCUGUGGCAUGGACUUGAUAGAGUUGAUAGAGUUUAGAUUUAGCAAACAACUGUUCAACUUUUGCACCUCUAUAAUCACUCAUUUAUUCAAUCAGCAAACAACUGUUCAACUUUAGCAUGCACCUCAUUAUUUUAUUCAAUCAGCAAAGAACUGUUCAACUUCACCUCUAUAUUCAUUAUAAAGAUACAAUGAAAAAAUGUGGGCAGGCAGCACGCAUGCAGGGUAGGGCUUCAACCUCGCUACAUCUAUGUGUGUACUCCAGCUGUAACUGCUCAAUGUUUGCAAACUAACAACUCGUGGAUUUGCAAUAAAGCUUUAUUGUUAUCUACUUUUACGUACUUGCUGUUGCAAUCUCUCCUUCAGAAUCUUGUGUAGUAUCAUCUGAACAACUUUCUAUUCAACAGUGUUGCACCUAUUUGUAAGCUGCAACUUCAUGGUCAAGCGUAGCCUCGAAUUAAAAUACGUAUUUUAAUCGGCCUGGUCUCGAGGCUAGGUCAAGCGCAGCCAUUCGUGAACUUCAACCUCUUGCAGCACAAUUUCUGCGCAUGCACACUCAGUCCCACGUGUGUGAAACAAGAUCCUUUGAUACUCUUGGGAUAUCUAGCUCUAUUUCUUCUUGCAGCUUUUCUCCCAUAUCACUAUAGUACACAAAAUAUUGUUACAGUUGUCUUCGCCUGCAUAUCACAGAAGAAAUAUACACACACCUUUUGAUCCAAUUCUGGGCUUCUUCACCCUACCACUGGUCUCUGGUUUUCUUUGUCAUUCUCAGUAUCGCUUACAUCUCCGCGAU
This is a long non-coding RNA of Halichondria panicea, 2878 nucleotides long. RefSeq lists it as uncharacterized. The record is from RefSeq and is a predicted model, not a curated record. NCBI's taxonomy places the organism in Eukaryota, Metazoa, Porifera, Demospongiae, Suberitida, Halichondriidae. The transcript is spliced from 4 exons.